AAACGGCUGCCAUAGUUCCCAUCUUCUGAACUCAGAAGAAAGUAGAACUCGAUGACUUCAAUGGCGAACCAAUCAUGGACCGAGAUUAUAAAAUUUCAAUAUAAAAAUCAAGAAGAAAGAAGUUGGACUAUCCUCUCCGGUGGUGUUAAAUGUUGUCAUCAGUUGGAGGACAUGGUCUGGGUAGGAGGCGGAGUUGUGUUUGGCAGAGAGAAUGCUCACUGAGCAUGCAGAUGUCAUAACUUUUGAUGGCAAGGAAGAAGAUUUGAAAGAAAUACUACACAUCUAGAGUUUGCGGAUAUUCCUUCGGGAGAGUUCAUCAAGCACACCCUAAUGCGUUGUACGCUAGACAAGCUAGCAAGAAUAUGUAAUACUCUAUUUUGUGCUUUUAUUUUUGUACAAUAAAUUUCGUUGGGUAAUAAAGUUUUUUCAUCAAAAACGGAAA
Papaver somniferum (opium poppy) is the source of this 442-nucleotide long non-coding RNA. RefSeq lists it as uncharacterized. The record is from RefSeq and is a predicted model, not a curated record. Lineage: Eukaryota; Viridiplantae; Streptophyta; Magnoliopsida; Ranunculales; Papaveraceae. The transcript is spliced from 3 exons.